Molecule: transfer RNA, 67 nt
Filed under: Melipona fasciculata
Lineage: Eukaryota; Metazoa; Arthropoda; Insecta; Hymenoptera; Apidae
Description: tRNA-Asp
Source: RNAcentral
AAAAAUUUAGUUAAUAACAUAACAUUAAAAUGUCAUUUUAAAGUAAAUUAUAAUUAAUUAAUUUUUA